UGAGCCAUGAAGAUCCUUCACCUGUGCUUGGCAGUUCUCUCUUUGCUGCUCCUGGCUUCCCCAGGAUCUGCACAAGACGAUGAACCUAAUAAUGGAUCUGCACAAGACGAUGGACCUAACAAUUAUGACGAGUGUGAAUAUAGCAACGGUAUUUGCAUAGAUGGAGGUUGUCCAGAUAAUUCUCAAGAGAUUGGAAUGUGUGAUGAUGAUCUGUUCUGUUG
Podarcis muralis (Common wall lizard) is the source of this 221-nucleotide non-coding RNA. NCBI's taxonomy places the organism in Eukaryota, Metazoa, Chordata, Lepidosauria, Squamata, Lacertidae. The record is from RefSeq and is a predicted model, not a curated record.